AGUGAACGCUGGCGGUAGGCCUAACACAUGCAAGUCGAACGGCAGCACAGUAAGAGCUUGCUCUUACGGGUGGCGAGUGGCGGACGGGUGAGGAAUACAUCGGAAUCUACUUUUUCGUGGGGGAUAACGUAGGGAAACUUACGAUAAUACCGCAUACGACCUACGGGUGAAAGCAGGGGAUCUUCGGACCUUGCGCGAUUGAAUGAGCCGAUGUCGGAUUAGCUAGUUGGCGGGGUAAAGGCCCACCAAGGCGACGACCCGUAGCUGGUCUGAGAGGAUGAUCAGCCACACUGGAACUGAGACACGGUCCAGACUCCUACGGGAGGCAGCAGUGGGGAAUAUUGGACAAUGGGCGCAAGCCUGAUCCAGCCAUACCGCGUGGGUGAAGAAGGCCUUCGGGUUGUAAAGCCCUUUUGUUGGGAAAGAAAAGCAGCAGGUUAAUACCCCGCUGUUCUGACGGUACCCAAAGAAUAAGCACCGGCUAACUUCGUG
Molecule: ribosomal RNA, 492 nt
Filed under: uncultured bacterium
Lineage: Bacteria
Description: partial 16S ribosomal RNA
Rfam family: Bacterial small subunit ribosomal RNA
Source: RNAcentral